GGUUAGGGUUAGGGUUAGGGUUAGGGUUAGGGUUAGGGUUAGGGUUAGGGGUUAGGGUUAGGGUUAGGGUUAGGGUUAGGGUUAGGGGUUAGGGUUAGGGUUAGGGUUAGGGUUAGGGUUAGGGUUAGGGUUUAGGGUUAGGGUUAGGGUUAGGGUUAGGGUUAGGGGUUAGGGUUAGGGUUAGGGUUAGGGUUAGGGUUAGGGUUAGGGUUAGGAUAUAGGGAUAUGUGCCACUUUUGACAUGCCGGUUCAUUGCCUUUCCCAAUGAUGAACCGGGCUGAGAUUUGGUCUACCCCCCUAUUUUCGGGUAUGCUGAAUCUAGAAAUACUAAUGAACCAGCGAUCGGACAUUCCUAUCAAAAGUUAUGGCGAAAUGAAAAUUUCCCAUUGAAAAUGAAUGGGAGCGGAAAAAUGGCCAAAGUCAGUGUUUGCAAGUGUUGUACUUGUCUGGAACUGUUGAAAAUGCAUUGUGAGCACGUUUCAGGCCAUUUCCUGUCAUUUGAGGGCGACUUUGCAAAAAGGGGUGUCAUACCGCUUUUGACCAGAGGUGGCGCUGCACAUGUCCGACGGUUAGGGUUAGGGUGAGACUUUGGGCAAGGGGUUAGGGUUAGGGUUGGAGCUAGGGUUAGGGUUAGGGUUGGAGCUAGGGUUAGGGUUAGGGUUGGAGCUAGGGUUAGGGUUAGGGUUGGUGUUAUUGGAGAAAAAUCACAAGAUUUUCCUAAGUGUGGACCCAAUUUUUCACCUUCCAGAAUUGUGUUAGGAGCACGUUUCAGGCCACGGGGAGUCCAUAGAACCUGAUUCUGGGUUAGGGUUAGGGUUAGGGUUAGGGUUAGGGUUAGGGUUAGGGUUAGGGUUAGGGUUAGGGUUAGGGUUUAGGGUUAGGGUUAGGGUUAGGGUUAGGGUUAGGGUUAGGGUUAGGGUUAGGGUUUAGGGUUAGGGUUAGGGUUAGGGUUAGGGUUAGGGUUAGGGUUAGGGUUAGGGGUUAGGGUUAGGGUUAGGGUUAGGGUUAGGGUUAGGGUUAGGGUUAGGGGUUAGGGUUAGGGUUAGGGUUAGGGUUAGGGUUAGGGUUAGGGGUUAGGGUUAGGGUUAGGGUUAGGGUUAGGGUUAGGGUUUAGGGUUAGGGUUAGGGUUAGGGUUAGGGUUAGGGUUAGGGUUAGGGGUUAGGGUUAGGGUUAGGGUUAGGGUUAGGGUUAGGGUUAGGGUUAGGGUUAGGGUUAGGGUUAGGGUUAGGGUUAGGGUUAGGGUUAGGGUUAGGGUUAGGGUUAGGGUUAGGGUUAGGGUUAGGGUUAGGGUUAGGGGUUAGGGUUAGGGUUAGGGUUAGGGUUAGGGUUAGGGUUAGGGUUAGGGGUUAGGGUUAGGGUUAGGGUUAGGGUUAGGGUUAGGGUUAGGGUUAGGGUUAGGGUUAGGGUUAGGGUUAGGGUUAGGGUUAGGGGUUAGGGUUAGGGUUAGGGUUAGGGUUAGGGUUAGGGUUAGGAUAUAGGGAUAUGUGCCACUUUUGACAUGCCGGUUCAUUGCCUUUCCCAAUGAUGAACCGGGCUGAGAUUUGGUCUACCCCCCCAUUUUCGGGUAUGCUGAAUCUAGAAAUAGUAAUGAACCAGCGAUCGGACAUUCCUAUCAAAAGUUAUGGCGAAGUGAAAAUUUCCCAUUGAAAAUGAAUGGGAGCGGAAAAAUGGCCAAAGUCAGUGUUUGCAAGUGUUCUACUUGUCUGGAAAUGUUGAAAAUGCAUUGUGAGCACGUUUCAGGCCAUUUCCUGUCAUUUGAGGGCGACUUUGCAAAAAGGGGUGUCCUACCGCUUUUGACCAGAGGUGGUGCUGCACAUGUCCGACGGUUAGGGUUAGGGUGAGACUUUGGGCAAGGGGUUAGGGUUAGGGCUGGAGCUAUGGUUAGGGUUAGUGGUGGAGCUAGGGUUGGAGCUAGGGUUAGGGUUAGGGUUGGAGCUAGGGUUAGGGUUAGGGUUAGGAAAAUGUGAAGAUUUUCCCAAAAUCUGAAGAUUUUCCUAAGUGCGGACCCAAUUUUUCACCUUCCAGAAUUGUGUUAGGAGCACGUUUCAGGCCACGGGGAGUCCAUAGAACCUGAUUGUGGGUGAAGUUUUCGGGGGUUGGAGCUUUGGGGCAGGAUAUAGGGAUAUGUGCCACUUUUGACAUGCCGGUUCAUUGCCUUUCCCAAUGAUGAACCGGGCUGAGAUUUGGUCUACCCCCCAUUUUCGGGUAUGCUGAAUCUAGAAAUAGUAAUGAACCAGCGAUCGGACAUUCCUAUCAAAAGUUAUGGCGAAGUGAAAAUUUCCCAUUGAAGAUGAAUGGGAGCGGAAAAAUGGCCAAAGUCAGUGUUUGCAAGUGUUCUACUUGUCUGGAAAUGUUGAAAAUGCAUUGUGAGCACGUUUCAGGCCAUUUCCUGUCAUUUGAGGGCGACUUUGCAAAAGGGGUGUCCUACCGCUUUUGACCAGAGGUGGCGCUGCACAUGUCCGACGGUUAGGGUUAGGGUGAGACUUUGGGCAAGGGGUUAGGGUUAGGGCUGGAGCUAUGGUUAGGGUUAGUUGUGGAGCUAGGGUUGGAGCUAGGGUUAGGGUUAGGGUUGGAGCUAGGGUUAGGGUUAGGGUUAGGAAAAUGUGAAGAUUUUCCCAAAAUCUGAAGAUUUUCCUAAGUGCGGACCCAAUUUUUCACCUUCCAGAAUUGUGUUAGGAGCACGUUUCAGGCCACGGGGAGUCCAUAGAACCUGAUUGUGGGUGAAGUUUUCGGGGGUUGGAGCUUUGGGGCAGGAUAUAGGGAUAUGUGCCACUUUUGACAUGCCGGUUCAUUGCCUUUCCCAAUGAUGAACCGGGCUGAGAUUUGGUCUACCCCCCAUUUUCGGGUAUGCUGAAUCUAGAAAUAGUAAUGAACCAGCGAUCGGACAUUCCUAUCAAAAGUUAUGGCGAAGUGAAAAUUUCCCAUUGAAGAUGAAUGGGAGCGGAAAAAUGGCCAAAGUCAGUGUUUGCAAGUGUUCUACUUGUCUGGAAAUGUUGAAAAUGCAUUGUGAGCACGUUUCAGGCCAUUUCCUGUCAUUUGAGGGCGACUUUGCAAAAAGGGGUGUCCUACCGCUUUUGACCAGAGGUGGCGCUGCACAUGUCCGACGGUUAGGGUUAGGGUGAGACUUUGGGCAAGGGGUUAGGGUUAGGGCUGGAGCUAUGGUUAGGGUUAGUUGUGGAGCUAGGGUUGGAGCUAGGGUUAGGGUUAGGGUUGGAGCUAGGGUUAGGGUUAGGGUUAGGAAAAUGUGAAGAUUUUCCCAAAAUCUGAAGAUUUUCCUAAGUGCGGACCCAAUUUUUCACCUUCCAGAAUUGUGUUAGGAGCACGUUUCAGGCCACGGGGAGUCCAUAGAACCUGAUUGUGGGUGAAGUUUUCGGGGGUUGGAGCUUUGGGGCAGGAUAUAGGGAUAUGUGCCACUUUUGACAUGCCGGUUCAUUGCCUUUCCCAAUGAUGAACCGGGCUGAGAUUUGGUCUACCCCCCAUUUUCGGGUAUGCUGAAUCUAGAAAUAGUAAUGAACCAGCGAUCGGACAUUCCUAUCAAAAGUUAUGGCGAAGUGAAAAUUUCCCAUUGAAGAUGAAUGGGAGCGGAAAAAUGGCCAAAGUCAGUGUUUGCAAGUGUUCUACUUGUCUGGAAAUGUUGAAAAUGCAUUGUGAGCACGUUUCAGGCCAUUUCCUGUCAUUUGAGGGCGACUUUGCAAAAGGGGUGUCCUACCGCUUUUGACCAGAGGUGGCGCUGCACAUGUCCGACGGUUAGGGUUAGGGUGAGACUUUGGGCAAGGGGUUAGGGUUAGGGCUGGAGCUAUGGUUAGGGUUAGUUGUGGAGCUAGGGUUGGAGCUAGGGUUAGGGUUAGGGUUGGAGCUAGGGUUAGGGUUAGGGUUAGGAAAAUGUGAAGAUUUUCCCAAAAUCUGAAGAUUUUCCUAAGUGCGGACCCAAUUUUUCACCUUCCAGAAUUGUGUUAGGAGCACGUUUCAGGCCACGGGGAGUCCAUAGAACCUGAUUGUGGGUGAAGUUUUCGGGGGUUGGAGCUUUGGGGCAGGAUAUAGGGAUAUGUGCCACUUUUGACAUGCCGGUUCAUUGCCUUUCCCAAUGAUGAACCGGGCUGAGAUUUGGUCUACCCCCCAUUUUCGGGUAUGCUGAAUCUAGAAAUAGUAAUGAACCAGCGAUCGGACAUUCCUAUCAAAAGUUAUGGCGAAGUGAAAAUUUCCCAUUGAAGAUGAAUGGGAGCGGAAAAAUGGCCAAAGUCAGUGUUUGCAAGUGUUCUACUUGUCUGGAAAUGUUGAAAAUGCAUUGUGAGCACGUUUCAGGCCAUUUCCUGUCAUUUGAGGGCGACUUUGCAAAAGGGGUGUCCUACCGCUUUUGACCAGAGGUGGCGCUGCACAUGUCCGACGGUUAGGGUUAGGGUGAGACUUUGGGCAAGGGGUUAGGGUUAGGGCUGGAGCUAUGGUUAGGGUUAGUUGUGGAGCUAGGGUUGGAGCUAGGGUUAGGGUUAGGGUUGGAGCUAGGGUUAGGGUUAGGGUUAGGAAAAUGUGAAGAUUUUCCCAAAAUCUGAAGAUUUUCCUAAGUGCGGACCCAAUUUUUCACCUUCCAGAAUUGUGUUAGGAGCACGUUUCAGGCCACGGGGAGUCCAUAGAACCUGAUUGUGGGUGAAGUUUUCGGGGGUUGGAGCUUUGGGGCAGGAUAUAGGGAUAUGUGCCACUUUUGACAUGCCGGUUCAUUGCCUUUCCCAAUGAUGAACCGGGCUGAGAUUUGGUCUACCCCCCAUUUUCGGGUAUGCUGAAUCUAGAAAUAGUAAUGAACCAGCGAUCGGACAUUCCUAUCAAAAGUUAUGGCGAAGAGUGAAAAUUUCCCAUUGAAGAUGAAUGGGAGCGGAAAAAUGGCCAAAGUCAGUGUUUGCAAGUGUUCUACUUGUCUGGAAAUGUUGAAAAUGCAUUGUGAGCACGUUUCAGGCCAUUUCCUGUCAUUUGAGGGCGACUUUGCAAAAGGGGUGUCCUACCGCUUUUGACCAGAGGUGGCGCUGCACAUGUCCGACGGUUAGGGUUAGGGUGAGACUUUGGGCAAGGGGUUAGGGUUAGGGCUGGAGCUAUGGUUAGGGUUAGUUGUGGAGCUAGGGUUGGAGCUAGGGUUAGGGUUAGGGUUGGAGCUAGGGUUAGGGUUAGGGUUAGGAAAAUGUGAAGAUUUUCCCAAAAUCUGAAGAUUUUCCUAAGUGCGGACCCAAUUUUUCACCUUCCAGAAUUGUGUUAGGAGCACGUUUCAGGCCACGGGGAGUCCAUAGAACCUGAUUGUGGGUGAAGUUUUCGGGGGUUGGAGCUUUGGGGCAGGAUAUAGGGAUAUGUGCCACUUUUGACAUGCCGGUUCAUUGCCUUUCCCAAUGAUGAACCGGGCUGAGAUUUGGUCUACCCCCCAUUUUCGGGUAUGCUGAAUCUAGAAAUAGUAAUGAACCAGCGAUCGGACAUUCCUAUCAAAAGUUAUGGCGAAGUGAAAAUUUCCCAUUGAAGAUGAAUGGGAGCGGAAAAUGGCCAAAGUCAGUGUUUGCAAGUGUUCUACUUGUCUGGAAAUGUUGAAAAUGCAUUGUGAGCACGUUUCAGGCCAUUUCCUGUCAUUUGAGGGCGACUUUGCAAAAAGGGGUGUCCUACCGCUUUUGACCAGAGGUGGCGCUGCACAUGUCCGACGGUUAGGGUUAGGGUGAGACUUUGGGCAAGGGGUUAGGGUUAGGGCUGGAGCUAUGGUUAGGGUUAGUUGUGGAGCUAGGGUUGGAGCUAGGGUUAGGGUUAGGGUUGGAGCUAGGGUUAGGGUUAGGGUUAGGAAAAUGUGAAGAUUUUCCCAAAAUCUGAAGAUUUUCCUAAGUGCGGACCCAAUUUUUCACCUUCCAGAAUUGUGUUAGGAGCACGUUUCAGGCCACGGGGAGUCCAUAGAACCUGAUUGUGGGUGAAGUUUUCGGGGGUUGGAGCUUUGGGGCAGGAUAUAGGGAUAUGUGCCACUUUUGACAUGCCGGUUCAUUGCCUUUCCCAAUGAUGAACCGGGCUGAGAUUUGGUCUACCCCCCAUUUUCGGGUAUGCUGAAUCUAGAAAUAGUAAUGAACCAGCGAUCGGACAUUCCUAUCAAAAGUUAUGGCGAAGUGAAAAUUUCCCAUUGAAGAUGAAUGGGAGCGGAAAAAUGGCCAAAGUCAGUGUUUGCAAGUGUUCUACUUGUCUGGAAAUGUUGAAAAUGCAUUGUGAGCACGUUUCAGGCCAUUUCCUGUCAUUUGAGGGCGACUUUGCAAAAAGGGGUGUCCUACCGCUUUUGACCAGAGGUGGCGCUGCACAUGUCCGACGGUUAGGGUUAGGGUGAGACUUUGGGCAAGGGGUUAGGGUUAGGGCUGGAGCUAUGGUUAGGGUUAGUUGUGGAGCUAGGGUUGGAGCUAGGGUUAGGGUUAGGGUUGGAGCUAGGGUUAGGGUUAGGGUUAGGAAAAUGUGAAGAUUUUCCCAAAAUCUGAAGAUUUUCCUAAGUGCGGACCCAAUUUUUCACCUUCCAGAAUUGUGUUAGGAGCACGUUUCAGGCCACGGGGAGUCCAUAGAACCUGAUUGUGGGUGAAGUUUUCGGGGGUUGGAGCUUUGGGGCAGGAUAUAGGGAUAUGUGCCACUUUUGACAUGCCGGUUCAUUGCCUUUCCCAAUGAUGAACCGGGCUGAGAUUUGGUCUACCCCCCAUUUUCGGGUAUGCUGAAUCUAGAAAUAGUAAUGAACCAGCGAUCGGACAUUCCUAUCAAAAGUUAUGGCGAAGUGAAAAUUUCCCAUUGAAGAUGAAUGGGAGCGGAAAAAUGGCCAAAGUCAGUGUUUGCAAGUGUUCUACUUGUCUGGAAAUGUUGAAAAUGCAUUGUGAGCACGUUUCAGGCCAUUUCCUGUCAUUUGAGGGCGACUUUGCAAAAGGGGUGUCCUACCGCUUUUGACCAGAGGUGGCGCUGCACAUGUCCGACGGUUAGGGUUAGGGUGAGACUUUGGGCAAGGGGUUAGGGUUAGGGCUGGAGCUAUGGUUAGGGUUAGUUGUGGAGCUAGGGUUGGAGCUAGGGUUAGGGUUAGGGUUGGAGCUAGGGUUAGGGUUAGGGUUAGGAAAAUGUGAAGAUUUUCCCAAAAUCUGAAGAUUUUCCUAAGUGCGGACCCAAUUUUUCACCUUCCAGAAUUGUGUUAGGAGCACGUUUCAGGCCACGGGGAGUCCAUAGAACCUGAUUGUGGGUGAAGUUUUCGGGGGUUGGAGCUUUGGGGCAGGAUAUAGGGAUAUGUGCCACUUUUGACAUGCCGGUUCAUUGCCUUUCCCAAUGAUGAACCGGGCUGAGAUUUGGUCUACCCCCCCAUUUUCGGGUAUGCUGAAUCUAGAAAUAGUAAUGAACCAGCGAUCGGACAUUCCUAUCAAAAGUUAUGGCGAAGUGAAAAUUUCCCAUUGAAGAUGAAUGGGAGCGGAAAAAUGGCCAAAGUCAGUGUUUGCAAGUGUUCUACUUGUCUGGAAAUGUUGAAAAUGCAUUGUGAGCACGUUUCAGGCCAUUUCCUGUCAUUUGAGGGCGACUUUGCAAAAGGGGUGUCCUACCGCUUUUGACCAGAGGUGGCGCUGCACAUGUCCGACGGUUAGGGUUAGGGUGAGACUUUGGGCAAGGGGUUAGGGUUAGGGCUGGAGCUAUGGUUAGGGUUAGUUGUGGAGCUAGGGUUGGAGCUAGGGUUAGGGUUAGGGUUGGAGCUAGGGUUAGGGUUAGGGUUAGGAAAAUGUGAAGAUUUUCCCAAAAUCUGAAGAUUUUCCUAAGUGCGGACCCAAUUUUUCACCUUCCAGAAUUGUGUUAGGAGCACGUUUCAGGCCACGGGGAGUCCAUAGAACCUGAUUGUGGGUGAAGUUUUCGGGGGUUGGAGCUUUGGGGCAGGAUAUAGGGAUAUGUGCCACUUUUGACAUGCCGGUUCAUUGCCUUUCCCAAUGAUGAACCGGGCUGAGAUUUGGUCUACCCCCCAUUUUCGGGUAUGCUGAAUCUAGAAAUAGUAAUGAACCAGCGAUCGGACAUUCCUAUCAAAAGUUAUGGCGAAGUGAAAAUUUCCCAUUGAAGAUGAAUGGGAGCGGAAAAAUGGCCAAAGUCAGUGUUUGCAAGUGUUCUACUUGUCUGGAAAUGUUGAAAAUGCAUUGUGAGCACGUUUCAGGCCAUUUCCUGUCAUUUGAGGGCGACUUUGCAAAAGGGGUGUCCUACCGCUUUUGACCAGAGGUGGCGCUGCACAUGUCCGACGGUUAGGGUUAGGGUGAGACUUUGGGCAAGGGGUUAGGGUUAGGGCUGGAGCUAUGGUUAGGGUUAGUUGUGGAGCUAGGGUUGGAGCUAGGGUUAGGGUUAGGGUUGGAGCUAGGGUUAGGGUUAGGGUUAGGAAAAUGUGAAGAUUUUCCCAAAAUCUGAAGAUUUUCCUAAGUGCGGACCCAAUUUUUCACCUUCCAGAAUUGUGUUAGGAGCACGUUUCAGGCCACGGGGAGUCCAUAGAACCUGAUUGUGGGUGAAGUUUUCGGGGGUUGGAGCUUUGGGGCAGGAUAUAGGGAUAUGUGCCACUUUUGACAUGCCGGUUCAUUGCCUUUCCCAAUGAUGAACCGGGCUGAGAUUUGGUCUACCCCCCCAUUUUCGGGUAUGCUGAAUCUAGAAAUAGUAAUGAACCAGCGAUCGGACAUUCCUAUCAAAAGUUAUGGCGAAGUGAAAAUUUCCCAUUGAAGAUGAAUGGGAGCGGAAAAAUGGCCAAAGUCAGUGUUUGCAAGUGUUCUACUUGUCUGGAAAUGUUGAAAAUGCAUUGUGAGCACGUUUCAGGCCAUUUCCUGUCAUUUGAGGGCGACUUUGCAAAAGGGGUGUCCUACCGCUUUUGACCAGAGGUGGCGCUGCACAUGUCCGACGGUUAGGGUUAGGGUGAGACUUUGGGCAAGGGGUUAGGGUUAGGGCUGGAGCUAUGGUUAGGGUUAGUUGUGGAGCUAGGGUUGGAGCUAGGGUUAGGGUUAGGGUUGGAGCUAGGGUUAGGGUUAGGGUUAGGAAAAUGUGAAGAUUUUCCCAAAAUCUGAAGAUUUUCCUAAGUGCGGACCCAAUUUUUCACCUUCCAGAAUUGUGUUAGGAGCACGUUUCAGGCCACGGGGAGUCCAUAGAACCUGAUUGUGGGUGAAGUUUUCGGGGGUUGGAGCUUUGGGGCAGGAUAUAGGGAUAUGUGCCACUUUUGACAUGCCGGUUCAUUGCCUUUCCCAAUGAUGAACCGGGCUGAGAUUUGGUCUACCCCCCAUUUUCGGGUAUGCUGAAUCUAGAAAUAGUAAUGAACCAGCGAUCGGACAUUCCUAUCAAAAGUUAUGGCGAAGUGAAAAUUUCCCAUUGAAGAUGAAUGGGAGCGGAAAAAUGGCCAAAGUCAGUGUUUGCAAGUGUUCUACUUGUCUGGAAAUGUUGAAAAUGCAUUGUGAGCACGUUUCAGGCCAUUUCCUGUCAUUUGAGGGCGACUUUGCAAAAGGGGUGUCCUACCGCUUUUGACCAGAGGUGGCGCUGCACAUGUCCGACGGUUAGGGUUAGGGUGAGACUUUGGGCAAGGGGUUAGGGUUAGGGCUGGAGCUAUGGUUAGGGUUAGUUGUGGAGCUAGGGUUGGAGCUAGGGUUAGGGUUAGGGUUGGAGCUAGGGUUAGGGUUAGGGUUAGGAAAAUGUGAAGAUUUUCCCAAAAUCUGAAGAUUUUCCUAAGUGCGGACCCAAUUUUUCACCUUCCAGAAUUGUGUUAGGAGCACGUUUCAGGCCACGGGGAGUCCAUAGAACCUGAUUGUGGGUGAAGUUUUCGGGGGUUGGAGCUUUGGGGCAGGAUAUAGGGAUAUGUGCCACUUUUGACAUGCCGGUUCAUUGCCUUUCCCAAUGAUGAACCGGGCUGAGAUUUGGUCUACCCCCCAUUUUCGGGUAUGCUGAAUCUAGAAAUAGUAAUGAACCAGCGAUCGGACAUUCCUAUCAAAAGUUAUGGCGAAGUGAAAAUUUCCCAUUGAAGAUGAAUGGGAGCGGAAAAAUGGCCAAAGUCAGUGUUUGCAAGUGUUGUACUUGUCUGGAAAUGUUGAAAAUGCAUUGUGAGCACGUUUCAGGCCAUUUCCUGUCAUUUGAGGGCGACUUUGCAAAAAGGGGUGUCCUACCGCUUUUGACCAGAGGUGGCGCUGCACAUGUCCGACGGUUAGGGUUAGGGUGAGACUUUGGGCAAGGGGUUAGGGUUAGGGCUGGAGCUAUGGUUAGGGUUAGUUGUGGAGCUAGGGUUGGAGCUAGGGUUAGGGUUAGGGUUGGAGCUAGGGUUAGGGUUAGGGUUAGGAAAAUGUGAAGAUUUUCCCAAAAUCUGAAGAUUUUCCUAAGUGCGGACCCAAUUUUUCACCUUCCAGAAUUGUGUUAGGAGCACGUUUCAGGCCACGGGGAGUCCAUAGAACCUGAUUGUGGGUGAAGUUUUCGGGGGUUGGAGCUUUGGGGCAGGAUAUAGGGAUAUGUGCCACUUUUGACAUGCCGGUUCAUUGCCUUUCCCAAUGAUGAACCGGGCUGAGAUUUGGUCUACCCCCCAUUUUCGGGUAUGCUGAAUCUAGAAAUAGUAAUGAACCAGCGAUCGGACAUUCCUAUCAAAAGUUAUGGCGAAGUGAAAAUUUCCCAUUGAAGAUGAAUGGGAGCGGAAAAAUGGCCAAAGUCAGUGUUUGCAAGUGUUGUACUUGUCUGGAAAUGUUGAAAAUGCAUUGUGAGCACGUUUCAGGCCAUUUCCUGUCAUUUGAGGGCGACUUUGCAAAAGGGGUGUCCUACCGCUUUUGACCAGAGGUGGCGCUGCACAUGUCCGACGGUUAGGGUUAGGGUGAGACUUUGGGCAAGGGGUUAGGGUUAGGGCUGGAGCUAUGGUUAGGGUUAGUUGUGGAGCUAGGGUUGGAGCUAGGGUUAGGGUUAGGGUUGGAGCUAGGGUUAGGGUUAGGGUUAGGAAAAUGUGAAGAUUUUCCCAAAAUCUGAAGAUUUUCCUAAGUGCGGACCCAAUUUUUCACCUUCCAGAAUUGUGUUAGGAGCACGUUUCAGGCCACGGGGAGUCCAUAGAACCUGAUUGUGGGUGAAGUUUUCGGGGGUUGGAGCUUUGGGGCAGGAUAUAGGGAUAUGUGCCACUUUUGACAUGCCGGUUCAUUGCCUUUCCCAAUGAUGAACCGGGCUGAGAUUUGGUCUACCCCCCAUUUUCGGGUAUGCUGAAUCUAGAAAUAGUAAUGAACCAGCGAUCGGACAUUCCUAUCAAAAGUUAUGGCGAAGUGAAAAUUUCCCAUUGAAGAUGAAUGGGAGCGGAAAAAUGGCCAAAGUCAGUGUUUGCAAGUGUUCUACUUGUCUGGAAAUGUUGAAAAUGCAUUGUGAGCACGUUUCAGGCCAUUUCCUGUCAUUUGAGGGCGACUUUGCAAAAAGGGGUGUCCUACCGCUUUUGACCAGAGGUGGCGCUGCACAUGUCCGACGGUUAGGGUUAGGGUGAGACUUUGGGCAAGGGGUUAGGGUUAGGGCUGGAGCUAUGGUUAGGGUUAGUUGUGGAGCUAGGGUUGGAGCUAGGGUUAGGGUUAGGGUUGGAGCUAGGGUUAGGGUUAGGGUUAGGAAAAUGUGAAGAUUUUCCCAAAAUCUGAAGAUUUUCCUAAGUGCGGACCCAAUUUUUCACCUUCCAGAAUUGUGUUAGGAGCACGUUUCAGGCCACGGGGAGUCCAUAGAACCUGAUUGUGGGUGAAGUUUUCGGGGUUGGAGCUUUGGGGCAGGAUAUAGGGAUAUGUGCCACUUUUGACAUGCCGGUUCAUUGCCUUUCCCAAUGAUGAACCGGGCUGAGAUUUGGUCUACCCCCCCAUUUUCGGGUAUGCUGAAUCUAGAAAUAGUAAUGAACCAGCGAUCGGACAUUCCUAUCAAAAGUUAUGGCGAAGUGAAAAUUUCCCAUUGAAGAUGAAUGGGAGCGGAAAAAUGGCCAAAGUCAGUGUUUGCAAGUGUUCUACUUGUCUGGAAAUGUUGAAAAUGCAUUGUGAGCACGUUUCAGGCCAUUUCCUGUCAUUUGAGGGCGACUUUGCAAAAGGGGUGUCCUACCGCUUUUGACCAGAGGUGGCGCUGCACAUGUCCGACGGUUAGGGUUAGGGUGAGACUUUGGGCAAGGGGUUAGGGUUAGGGCUGGAGCUAUGGUUAGGGUUAGUUGUGGAGCUAGGGUUGGAGCUAGGGUUAGGGUUAGGGUUGGAGCUAGGGUUAGGGUUAGGGUUAGGAAAAUGUGAAGAUUUUCCCAAAAUCUGAAGAUUUUCCUAAGUGCGGACCCAAUUUUUCACCUUCCAGAAUUGUGUUAGGAGCACGUUUCAGGCCACGGGGAGUCCAUAGAACCUGAUUGUGGGUGAAGUUUUCGGGGGUUGGAGCUUUGGGGCAGGAUAUAGGGAUAUGUGCCACUUUUGACAUGCCGGUUCAUUGCCUUUCCCAAUGAUGAACCGGGCUGAGAUUUGGUCUACCCCCCAUUUUCGGGUAUGCUGAAUCUAGAAAUAGUAAUGAACCAGCGAUCGGACAUUCCUAUCAAAAGUUAUGGCGAAGUGAAAAUUUCCCAUUGAAAAUGAAUGGGAGCGGAAAAAUGGCCAAAGUCAGUGUUUGCAAGUGUUGUACUUGUCUGGAAAUGUUGAAAAUGCAUUGUGAGCACGUUUCAGGCCAUUUCCUGUCAUUUGAGGGCGACUUUGCAAAAGGGGUGUCAUACCGCUUUUGACCAGAGGUGGCGCUGCACAUGUCCGACGGUUAGGGUUAGGGUGAGACUUUGGGCAAGGGGUUAGGGUUAGGGCUGGAGCUAUGGUUAGGGUUAGUUGUGGAGCUAGGGUUGGAGCUAGGGUUAGGGUUAGGGUUGGAGCUAGGGUUAGGGUUAGGGUUAGGAAAAUGUGAAGAUUUUCCCAAAAUCUGAAGAUUUUCCUAAGUGCGGACCCAAUUUUUCACCUUCCAGAAUUGUGUUAGGAGCACGUUUCAGGCCACGGGGAGUCCAUAGAACCUGAUUGUGGGUGAAGUUUUCGGGGUUGGAGCUUUGGGGCAGGAUAUAGGGAUAUGUGCCACUUUUGACAUGCCGGUUCAUUGCCUUUCCCAAUGAUGAACCGGGCUGAGAUUUGGUCUACCCCCCCAUUUUCGGGUAUGCUGAAUCUAGAAAUAGUAAUGAACCAGCGAUCGGACAUUCCUAUCAAAAGUUAUGGCGAAGUGAAAAUUUCCCAUUGAAAAUGAAUGGGAGCGGAAAAAUGGCCAAAGUCAGUGUUUGCAAGUGUUGUACUUGUCUGGAACUGUUGAAAAUGCAUUGUGAGCACGUUUCAGGCCAUUUCCUGUCAUUUGAGGGCGACUUUGCAAAAGGGGUGUCAUACCGCUUUUGACCAGAGGUGGCGCUGCACAUGUCCGACGGUUAGGGUUAGGGUGAGACUUUGGGCAAGGGGUUAGGGUUAGGGCUGGAGCUAGGGUUAGGGUUAGUUGUGGAGCUAGGGUUAGGGUUAGGGUUGGAGCUAGGGUUAGGGUUAGGGUUGGAGCUAGGGUUAGGGUUAGGGUUAGG
Xyrichtys novacula (pearly razorfish) is the source of this 13499-nucleotide non-coding RNA. The record is from the annotation of a GenBank genome assembly. NCBI's taxonomy places the organism in Eukaryota, Metazoa, Chordata, Actinopteri, Labriformes, Labridae.